AAGUCGUAACAAGGUAACCGUAGGUGAACCUGCGGUUGGAUCAUUAUUGAAAUCCAAAACUUUACUUGAAUGUAGGGAAGGGAGAAAAAUUCCCCCCGACCUACUUCAAAACCCCCAAAACCUUUUUUCCUCCUUUAAAAGGGAGGGGAAAAACGAUCACCUGUAAAGCAAUUUAUAGGUGGUGCGUGAACUUUAAACAAUAGCUCUAAGGAAUUCAUUCCUUUAGGGCUAUUUACUUGGGUAUUCAUCCCUUUAAGGGGGGAGAGAGCAAUCUCUCUCUCUUUAAAGAUUAAAGGGUGUUGCCCUAUAAACCUAGAAAAAAAACAUUAUUUAAAACUAAUUUUUCUCUUUCACUUUUUCUUUAGGAAAAGUAAUCGAAAAGAAAAACAACUUUUGACAAUGGAUCUCUAGGCUCUC
Molecule: unclassified non-coding RNA, 417 nt
Filed under: fungal sp.
Lineage: Eukaryota; Fungi
Also listed under: 1 other name
Description: partial internal transcribed spacer region
Rfam family: Eukaryotic small subunit ribosomal RNA (bases 1-46)
Source: RNAcentral